RNAcentral lists this transfer RNA (86 nucleotides) under Ignavibacteria bacterium. RNAcentral's name for it is "tRNA-Tyr". It matches the Rfam family "tRNA". From Rfam's summary of the family: Transfer RNA (tRNA) molecules are approximately 80 nucleotides in length. Their secondary structure includes four short double-helical elements and three loops (D, anti-codon, and T loops). The record is from RNAcentral. Lineage: Bacteria; Pseudomonadati; Ignavibacteriota; Ignavibacteria.
GGGUAGGUAGCGAAGUGGUUAAACGCAUCAGACUGUAAAUCUGACGGCUAUGGCCUUCGGAGGUUCGAAUCCUUCCCUACCCACGA